This 494-nucleotide ribosomal RNA is filed under the name uncultured bacterium. RNAcentral describes it as "partial 16S ribosomal RNA". It matches the Rfam family "Bacterial small subunit ribosomal RNA", at positions 28 to 506 of the family's 1533-position model. The record is from RNAcentral.
GACGAACGCUGGCGGCGUGCCUAAUACAUGCAAGUAGAACGCUGAAGGAGGAGCUUGCUUCUCUGGAUGAGUUGCGAACGGGUGAGUAACGCGUAGGUAACCUGCCUGGUAGCGGGGGAUAACUAUUGGAAACGAUAGCUAAUACCGCAUAAGAGUAGAUGUUGCAUGACAUUUGCUUAAAAGGUGCAAUUGCAUCACUACCAGAUGGACCUGCGUUGUAUUAGCUAGUUGGUGGGGUAACGGCUCACCAAGGCGACGAUACAAAGCCGACCUGAGAGGGUGAUCGGCCACACUGGGACUGAGACACGGCCCAGACUCCUACGGGAGGCAGCAGUAGGGAAUCUUCGGCAAUGGACGGAAGUCUGACCGAGCAACGCCGCGUGAGUGAAGAAGGUUUUCGGAUCGUAAAGCUCUGUUGUAAGAGAAGAACGAGUGUGAGAGUGGAAAGUUCACACUGUGACGGUAUCUUACCAGAAAGGGACGGCUAACUACGU